RNAcentral lists this ribosomal RNA (309 nucleotides) under uncultured bacterium. Its description in RNAcentral is "partial 16S ribosomal RNA". It matches the Rfam family "Bacterial small subunit ribosomal RNA", at positions 504 to 807 of the family's 1533-position model. The record is from RNAcentral.
AGAGACAGCAGUAGCCGCGGUAAAACGGAGGGUGCAAGCGUUAUCCGGAUUUAUUGGGUUUAAAGGGUCCGUAGGCGGACUUAUAAGUCAGUGGUGAAAGCCUGUCGCUUAACGAUAGAACUGCCAUUGAUACUGUAAGUCUUGAGUAUAUUUGAGGUAGCUGGAAUAAGUAGUGUAGCGGUGAAAUGCAUAGAUAUUACUUAGAACACCAAUUGCGAAGGCAGGUUACCAAGAUAUAACUGACGCUGAGGGACGAAAGCGUGGGUAGCGAACAGGAUUAGAUACCCCAGUAGUCCCUGUCUCUUAUAC